RNAcentral lists this ribosomal RNA (492 nucleotides) under uncultured bacterium. Its description in RNAcentral is "bacterial SSU rRNA". It matches the Rfam family "Bacterial small subunit ribosomal RNA", at positions 29 to 515 of the family's 1533-position model. The record is from RNAcentral.
AACGAACGCUGGCGGCGCGCCUAAUACAUGCAAGUCGAGCGAGAAGGUGUAGCAAUACACUUGUAAAGCGGCGAACGGGUGAGGAAUACAUGGGUAAUCUACCAUCGAGUGGGGAAUAACCAGCCGAAAGGUUGGCUAAUACCGCGUACGCCUCCGAAUCUUCGGGUUCGGAGGGAAAGCCACACUGUGAGUGCGGCGCUCUUUGAUGAGCUCAUGUCCUAUCAGCUUGUUGGUAGGGUAACGGCCUACCAAGGCUUUGACGGGUAGCUGGUCUGAGAGGACGAUCAGCCACACUGGCACUGCGACACGGGCCAGACUCCUACGGGAGGCAGCAGUAAGGAAUAUUGCGCAAUGGGCGAAAGCCUGACGCAGCGACGCCGCGUGGGGAUGAAGGUCUUCGGAUUGUAAACCCCUUUCGGGAGGGAAGAUGGAGCGAGCAAUCGUUCGGACGGUACCUCCAGAAGCAGCCACGGCCAACUUCGUGCCAGCAGC